AACGAACGCUGGCGGCAGGCUUAACACAUGCAAGUCGAGCGCAUCCUUCGGGGUGAGCGGCAGACGGGUGAGUAACGCGUGGGAACGUACCCUUUGCUACGGAAUAGCUCCGGGAAACUGGAAUUAAUACCGUAUGUGCCCUUCGGGGGAAAGAUUUAUCGGCAAAGGAUCGGCCCGCGUUGGAUUAGCUAGUUGGUGGGGUAAAGGCCUACCAAGGCGACGAUCCAUAGCUGGUCUGAGAGGAUGAUCAGCCACAUUGGGACUGAGACACGGCCCAAACUCCUACGGGAGGCAGCAGUGGGGAAUAUUGGACAAUGGGCGCAAGCCUGAUCCAGCCAUGCCGCGUGAGUGAUGAAGGCCUUAGGGUUGUAGAGCUCUUUCAACGGUGAAGAUAAUGACGGUAACCGUAGAAGAAGCCCCGGCUAACUUCGUGCCAGCAGCCGCCGUAA
RNAcentral lists this ribosomal RNA (449 nucleotides) under uncultured bacterium. Its description in RNAcentral is "partial 16S ribosomal RNA". It matches the Rfam family "Bacterial small subunit ribosomal RNA", at positions 29 to 523 of the family's 1533-position model. The record is from RNAcentral.